AGCAGCCGCGGUAAUUCCAGCUCCAAUAGCGUAUAUUAAAGUUGUUGCAGUUAAGAAGCUCGUAGUUGAAUUUCGGGGUCAGUGGGUCGGUCGUGCCAAUGGUAUGUACUGGCCCUACUGAUUCCUCCUUCUUGAAGAACUGUAAUGCCAUUAAUUUGGUGUUGCAGGGAAACAGGACUGUUACUUUGAAAAAAUUAGAGUGUUUAAAGCAGGCAAUCGCUUGAAUACAUUAGCAUGGAAUAAUGAAAUAGGACGUUCGAUCCUAUUUUGUUGGUUUCUAGGAUUGACGUAAUGAUUAAUAGGGAUAGUUGGGGGCAUUAGUAUUCAAUUGUCAGAGGUGAAAUUCUUGGAUUUAUUGAAGACUAACUACUGCGAAAGCAUUUGCCAAGGAUGUUUUCAUUAAUCAAGAACGAAAGUUGGGGGCUCGAAGACGAUCAGAUACCGUCCUAGUCUCAACCAUAAACGAUGCCGACCAGGGAUCGGCGGAUGUUAACUUUUCUUGACUCG
Molecule: ribosomal RNA, 507 nt
Filed under: uncultured Glomus
Lineage: Eukaryota; Fungi; Glomeromycota; Glomeromycetes; Glomerales; Glomeraceae
Description: SSU rRNA
Rfam family: Eukaryotic small subunit ribosomal RNA
Source: RNAcentral